AGCUUUUUGAAGCCGUGUAGAGAUUUCGUCAGACACCGAUCAAUUAUGGAUGAUCAGACUUCCAAGGUUAGUGAGGUU
RNAcentral lists this microRNA precursor (78 nucleotides) under Schistosoma curassoni. Its description in RNAcentral is "mir-3492 microRNA precursor family". It matches the Rfam family "mir-3492 microRNA precursor family". Lineage: Eukaryota; Metazoa; Platyhelminthes; Trematoda; Strigeidida; Schistosomatidae. The record is from Rfam by way of RNAcentral.